CCUAAGGGGUAGUUCCCCCACAAAAAGUUAGUCAAGAUACUUACCUCAAAGAAGCCAAAUCAAUACUCUAAAUGACCUUCUCGCGUGAAACAAACCUCCGAACGGUUCAAAUAUAGCCACAAUAACUUAAUAUCAUAAACAAAAAUCAUAGAAAAUAAUUCAGGAUAAUAAAGCUUCGAUCUUUAAUUAAAACAAAAAAGUCAACUCAAAAAGUCAACCCCGAGCCUGCACCUCGAAACCCGACACAAUUCACAAAAUCGGCAUUAUAUGUAGAAACAAUAUCAGCAAGAUGUUGGUAUAGAAACAAUAUCAGCAGGUUAUCUUGAACCCGUAUUCCAGCUACCUCUGUUGUAGUUGGUAAAUUAUAUGUACGUUGAUCUAAACAUGGAUCACAUUUAAUCACAAUAUAAGAAUCAAAUAGUUUCGGAACAUUUGCCAGGGAUUCAGAAAGAUUGAAUAUGGAUUAACUGAGAGAACAUUCAUAAGUCUUUUGACUAUUGAUUCGUUGAUAUUCACUGAACAGGUCAUUCUGUAAGCAAGUUUAUUUUCGUUAUCAUAGAAGUAUAACUACAGAUUCUUUGCUUUUUUAUCAGAAAGAAGUAAAUCAGGUAUGAAAUGAUACAUUUGCCCUUGAACUCAAAAUGUAUAUAUACCAUGAUAUCUCCUUGCUAAAUCUUUAUCAUUGGUUACACAAAGUAAGGUAAACGCAAACAUAUUAUUAUAUGUUCUAAUGUAGAUACGAAAAUGUCUAGAUUCUUCGGUAUUUCCUGAAUAUAAAUAUGAUAAUUCAUGGGGGAGCUGAUACGAAAUUAACUCCACUGACCCACUGCCACAACAAAAUCCAGGUGGUUCAUACUGAAACCUUUUUGCAUUGCAAAAUUUAUAGUUUGGAACGACUUUUAAACGUGCAUAAUCUAAGUUAUUUUUAUUAUUUUUCGUAUAGACUAUUUUGUCCAAUCUAUAACACGUAUGUUAUUAGUAUUGGUAAAAUAAAGACUGGCCAAAAAUUCAGAUAAUGAGUAAUGUUAGUUGAACGACUAAGACUAACCUUUGUUGGUAACAACUUCAAUGGAGGCAUUUUGUUGUCCCUUAGAUGUACCGGAUAUUGAUCCUGGUGUAUCAAUUUAUUUAAUUUAGAUGUACGCCUAUGGCAUGACGAAGUAACAAAGUUAAAGGUAGAGGUUGUAGCCUUACCUCUUUCAAACACACAAAAUGAGUGAUCGGCGUCUUUUCCUUUAUCAAAAACUGCUGAUAAAGUAGGAGUUUCAUGGCUCGUGCCUACUGCAUAAAAUAUGAAACACAUUUCAUAGUAAGUGAAUAUUUAUAUUAUAAGAAUUGGUAAAAUAAAGGCUGAGAUAAAUUCUACUAAUGCAUAAUGUUACUUUAACACAAAAGUAAUACUAACCUUUGUUUGAAAAAACUUCAGGAGAGACAUCUUGUUGACUCUUACAUGUUCCAGAUAUUGAUCAUGAUACAAAAAUUGUUAUAAUUUAGAUGUACGCCUAAGUUAUGACAUGGUAAGAAAAGAUAGAACUGAAGGUUGUAGUUUUACCUCUUUCAAAUACAUAGAAUGGAUGAGAGAUACUUUUUUCUUUAUUAAAAGAACUUGAUAAAGUACUAACUUCAUAGCUGCCACUUACUGCAUUGAAUAUGAAAUACAUACAACAAUAAGUUAGUAUUCAAGUAAACUAACAGAAAUAGAGAAAACCCAAUAUGUCAUUCCAACUUUUGACAUUAGCAGAAGAAGACUCUCUUAAGUAAGUGCACUUUGUUUUGACAACAUUGUGUCACAUUGAGGCUUUAUCCUUUCAGAUGGGCACUCAACAACUGAUUUUAUGGAACCAUUGCAAUUUUGUAGCUCCAUUUUUUGGUGCGUCAUUGUAAUACGUUGGUAUUUUUCCAUACGUAUCACGUCGCCUCGAUUUCUUUUCACAGUUUGUGUCUUCUGUACAUGUACAUGUUUUCCUUUGGUUGGAAGACAUUUCUGCACAAACUUAUUACUGUGAGAUAUCUGCCUCUCAAAUAGUUCAAAUAAUCUGACCAAAAAGUGCCUCAGUAGACUUUAAGCAGCACAAUUUAUUGUUUAUUCUACUGACAAUACAUAGGCAGUUGAAUGCAAUACAAGGCCGCAACAAAUUUAUUCCAUUGUAAAUAUGUUAGGUUCUAAAUUUACCAUUCUUGUCAUGUAAGAAUUAACUAAUGCCUACUCCUAGGAAAACUAUCUUCCAAUUUGAAAAAUUAGAACUUCAGACUUUUCUAACUUAAAAACUAUGGAGAAACAAUAUUCUUUUACUGUCCGACCCCUAUGUACCAUGAAUAGUUAUAGAAAAGUUUCUUAAAUUCAAACUUCGCUAAUUCCCGAACCCAAAAAGGUCAACUUAUUCAUUAAAAAGAACAUUAAUUAAAAUAGCAAAGGUUGGUACGUCGGGAAACAAGACAACACCAGUAAUGUUUUGUUGAUUAUGAAUAAAUAUAUGCUUGAUUUUGGUAUAUUAGUUUCAUUCUUCGUCAGAUGCGUCCAGAGCAGGGCUAAAAUUAAAAAAUUGAAUCCAAAAUUAUAAAACUUUGAAGUGACAACAUAUAUGAAAUUAAUAGGUACCCUUAGAAGGAAUCUAGCGGAAGCUAGUGGUAGUUUAAAGGAGCAAAAACUAUGGACAAAUCUAAAAUAUAUGAUUUUGAGAAGUUUGCCCCAUAUAUAUAUGCAAAUUGAAGUGCUAUUACUCUUUCCCCUAGCAAGCUCAUAUGCAGUAAAUGUUCAUAUAUCUAUCUGUAAAUCAAUUAUCUAUGUGGACACUUACCCUUCUCUUAAAGUUGCUAAAUUGCUCUAUGCAAACAACUCCGGCACUAUGAAAACAAAUAUGCAUAACAAAUUAUUACAACUCUCUUUGCUGGUUCGAUCAUUUUGAUGCGCCAGUAUGGUGAUCUCAUGGCUAUCUGAAGAGGAUGGUUAAUAUACAAUCUCAGCUUCAGAUUCCAUCGCAUUAAGACCGAAUCUCUGCUCCCUUUCUCCCUUUGUGAAUGAAGUAUGGAUGUUAUAACUUAACUAAAUUUAGAUGCUUCUUGUUAUUUCACUUGCUUCCUCAUUCGUGGUCCAAUAUCUAAUAUAGUACCCAAAGACAGAGAACCUGGAGACGGCAAACUUUUUUUGCACUUUUUCUAAGACUCUAACCUAGAAGAAUCAGAAGAAGGGACAAAGUGGAAGUAUGUGAUAUAAUUUAGUCUCUGCGAAAUGUGAACAAAAACCAUUGAUACUCCUCAAGAGAAAUACAGAUAGAGAUGAAUCACAAAUACUUAAAAAAUAGAGAAGACAGAAAUAUGCAUAAGAAAUUUAACAGAAAUUGUAAUUCAUUGAAGAAUUUUCUCAAACACCUAGAGAACAAAAGCCAUUUAUAUUCCUCAAGAGAAAUAUAAAUACAGAUGAAUCAAAGAGAUGGUAGAAGGGUUACCCACCAGAAAAUACGAUUGGCGGAAGAAAACACACUGAAGUGCAAACUUGACAACAAGAGGAAAGAUAGAGAGCAGAAAUUCUGGGCUUUUCUUAGUUGGAGAUGGCGUUACUUCUCACGGUUCCGAGUUUCGAGCCGUUUGGAGGUUGAUUUGCCCGGAAUGACAUUUCUAGAGUGUUGUUUGGCUUGCUCGGUAUUUGAUUUGACUUGUUCGAGGUAAGUAAUAUUUAUAAACUUGGGAUUGAGGGUCAUUAUCCCUGGGAACCAUGUUAUUUGUAAUAUGUUGAGGUGACACACAUGCUAGGUGACGGGUGUAUGGGCGUGCACCGUGGUAAUCAUGGUUCAAGUUAACUUAUAGGCUAGUACCAGACUUGUUCUGCUAUCAUAUCCUAUUAUAUCCAUAUUAUCCCUACUUGUUUGAUUAUUUGAGUUGUGAUUCAUGUAAGAAAUCAUCUUUAAGCUAAGUACUUAGUCGAUUGAGACCUAAUGAGGCUAUUUCUGUUGUUUUAAGUCAUCUGUUUUAACUGUAAUUAUACACUCUGUCAUGGUUCUUCAUUUGCAUAUCAUAUCUCAGUCUUUGUUCA
This is a non-coding RNA of Nicotiana tabacum (common tobacco), 4030 nucleotides long. The record is from RefSeq and is a predicted model, not a curated record. Lineage: Eukaryota; Viridiplantae; Streptophyta; Magnoliopsida; Solanales; Solanaceae.